CGUUAGCGGCGGACGGGUGAGUAACACGUGGGUAACCUACCUAUAAGACUGGAAUAACUCCGGGAAACCGGGGCUAAUGCCGGAUAACAUGUUGAACCGCAUGGUUCUCCAGUGAAAGACGGUCUUGCUGUCACUUAUAGAUGGACCCGCGCCGUAUUAGCUAUUUGGUGGGGUAACGGCCUACCAAGGCGACCAUACGUAGCCCACCUGAGAGGGUGAUCGGCCACACUGGAACUGAGACACGGUCCAGACUCCUACGGGAGGCAGCAGUAGGGAAUCUUCCGCAAUGGGCGAAAGCCUGACGGAGCAACGCCGCGUGAGUGAUGAAGGUCUUCGGAUCGUAAAGCUCUGUUGUUAGGGAAGAACAAAUGUGUAAGUAACUGUGCACAUCUUGACGGUACCUAACCAGAAAGCCACGGCUAACUACGUGCCAGCAGCCGCGGUAAUACGUAGGUGGCAAGCGUUAUCCGGAAUUAUUGGGCGUAAAGCGCGCGUAGGCGGUUUUUUAAGUCUGAUGUGAAAGCCCACGGCUCAACCGUGGAGGGUCAUUGGAAACUGGAAAACUUGAGUGCAGAAGAGGAAAGUGGAAUUCCAUGUGUAGCGGUGAAAUGCGCAGAGAUAUGGAGGAACACCAGUGGCGAAGGCGGCUUUCUGGUCUGCAACUGACGCUGAUGUGCGAAAACGUGGGGAUCAAACAGGAUUAGAUACCCUGGUAGUCCACGCCGUAAACGAUGAGUGCUAAGUGUUAGGGGGUUUCCGCCCCUUAGUGCUGCAGCUAACGCAUUAAGCACUCCGCCUGGGGAGUACGGUCGCAAGACUGAAACUCAAAGGAAUUGACGGGGACCCGCAC
This 850-nucleotide ribosomal RNA is filed under the name Staphylococcus pseudintermedius. Its description in RNAcentral is "bacterial SSU rRNA". It matches the Rfam family "Bacterial small subunit ribosomal RNA", at positions 90 to 926 of the family's 1533-position model. Lineage: Bacteria; Bacillati; Bacillota; Bacilli; Caryophanales; Staphylococcaceae. The record is from RNAcentral.